RNAcentral lists this long non-coding RNA (867 nucleotides) under Oryza brachyantha (malo sina). Its description in RNAcentral is "long non-coding RNA (OBRA_LNC002077)". Lineage: Eukaryota; Viridiplantae; Streptophyta; Magnoliopsida; Poales; Poaceae. The record is from RNAcentral.
CUUAUAGGGAUACAUGGCUUUAUCAAACUUAAGAAUGAGCAACGGUUGAUUAUGGGUCUGUUUGGGGAGCCUCUUCCAGCUGCAGCAUUUGGAAAAAGCUGUCCUAAACGGUCCACAGCUUCUGAGAAACUGUCAGAUUCUGGAAAAUGAACUAAGAAUCCAGAAGCUAGGUUUAGAAGCUUUUUUAGAUUCUCAGAAACUGACUACCAAGCAGCUGCUUCUCAGAAUGUAAAACUCCUCAAACAGACCUCAUAUAACUUACGCGUUCGAUCACAUAAGCCAACGACAAUGAAAUGAACAUAUUAUGUAAAUACUUACAAGCAGCUAGCAUACCAAAACCUGAAAAAUAAAUGAGUAAUCCUACAUCUAUGCUAGGAGUAUAAUUAUUUGCAAUUGACGAUGAAGGGAACGGAAAAUGACUUGGCCGCAACAGUACAAAACCUAGUCAUCAAACUAGGCAGGAGGUCGAUCGUCAACAGCCAUCCCUGCUGUAUGCCGGCAACGACCGCUAAUUCUCACACGCCGUCGCCGGUGCAGCGAACCUAAUUAGCGAUCGAGCUAGCUGUCUUGUGUGUGUCUGUCUCUGCCUCUCAACCGUGACGACAAGGCCAGACCGACCGACCAAAACCCUCCUUGUCGAUCGCGCAUCACCAGCAGCGCGCGGGGCUUCGGCCGGGCGCUUUCACCUCGUGGGGGGUGACGAACCGGAGCGCGGAGCCAACGGACGGACGACGCGGGCACACACACAUCGGCACGUCGAAAUCGCGUCCUGUACCAACGCCAGCGGGCGCAGCUGUCUGUCCUCCCGGCCUCCUCGCGGCCGUCCAUCCGCCCGUCCCACUACUGCCCAAGCGCGGCGCGGCGUGG